GACGAACGCUGGCGGCGUGCUUAACACAUGCAAGUCGAACGGAAAGGCCCUGCUUGCAGGGUACUCGAGUGGCGAACGGGUGAGUAACACGUGAGUGAUCUGCCCUGCACUUCGGGAUAAGCCUGGGAAACUGGGUCUAAUACCGGAUAGGAGCCAUUUUUAGUGUGAUGGUUGGAAAGUUUUUUCGGUGUAGGAUGAGCUCGCGGCCUAUCAGCUUGUUGGUGGGGUAAUGGCCUACCAAGGCGGCGACGGGUAGCCGGCCUGAGAGGGUGGACGGCCACAUUGGGACUGAGAUACGGCCCAGACUCCUACGGGAGGCAGCAGUGGGGAAUAUUGCACAAUGGGCGCAAGCCUGAUGCAGCGACGCCGCGUGGGGGAUGACGGCCUUCGGGUUGUAAACUCCUUUCGCUAGGGACGAAGCUUUUUGUGACGGUACCUAGAUAAGAAGCACCGGCUAACUACGUG
This 465-nucleotide ribosomal RNA is filed under the name uncultured bacterium. RNAcentral describes it as "partial 16S ribosomal RNA". It matches the Rfam family "Bacterial small subunit ribosomal RNA", at positions 28 to 507 of the family's 1533-position model. The record is from RNAcentral.